GACGUAGGGCGCGAGCGUUGUCCGGAUUUAUUGGGCGUAAAGAGCUCGUAGGCGGCUUGUCGCGUCGUCCGUGAAAACCUGUGGCUCAACUGCAGGCUUGCGGUCGAUACGGGCAGGCUGGAGUUCGGUAGGGGAGACUGGAAUUCCCGGUGUAGCGGUGGAAUGCGUAGAGAUCGGGAAGAACAUCAGUGGCGAAGGCGGCCUGCUGGGCUGUUGCUGACGCUGAGGCGCGACAGCGUGGGGAGCAAACAGG
Molecule: ribosomal RNA, 253 nt
Filed under: uncultured bacterium
Lineage: Bacteria
Description: partial 16S ribosomal RNA
Rfam family: Bacterial small subunit ribosomal RNA
Source: RNAcentral